This 253-nucleotide ribosomal RNA is filed under the name uncultured bacterium. RNAcentral describes it as "partial 16S ribosomal RNA". It matches the Rfam family "Bacterial small subunit ribosomal RNA", at positions 524 to 776 of the family's 1533-position model. The record is from RNAcentral.
UACAGAGGUCCCAAGCGUUGUUCGGAUUCACUGGGCGUAAAGGGUGCGUAGGCGGUUGGGUAAGUCGGGUGUGAAAUCUCGGAGCUUAACUCCGAAACUGCAUUCGAUACUGCCGUGCUUGAGGACUGGAGAGGAGACUGGAAUUUACGGUGUAGCGGUGAAAUGCGUAGAUAUCGUAAGGAAGACCAGUGGCGAAGGCGGGUCUCUGGACAGUUCCUGACGCUGAGGCACGAAGGUCAGGGGAGCAAACGGG